Molecule: ribosomal RNA, 535 nt
Filed under: uncultured bacterium
Lineage: Bacteria
Description: bacterial SSU rRNA
Rfam family: Bacterial small subunit ribosomal RNA
Source: RNAcentral
AGAGUUUGAUCCUGGCUCAGAACGAACGCUGGCGGCGUGCUUAACACAUGCAAGUCGUGCGAGAAAGGGACUUCGGUCCUGAGUAGAGCGGCGCACGGGUGAGUAACGCGUGGGUAAUCUCCCUUGGUGAUCGGGAUAACAGCGGGAAACUGCUGCUAAUACCGGAUAAUCUUCAUGUUUAACUUCAUGGGGUAAAGGUGGCCUCUGCUUGCAAGCUACCACAUCAAGAUGAGCCCGCGUCUCAUUAGCUAGUUGGUAGGGUAAUGGCCUACCAAGGCUACGAUGAGUAGCUGGUCUGAGAGGAUGACCAGCCACACUGGGACUGGAACACGGCCCAGACUCCUACGGGAGGCAGCAGUGGGGAAUAUUGCGCAAUGGGCGAAAGCCUGACGCAGCGACGCCUCGUGAGGGAUGAAGGUCUUCUGAUCGUAAACCUCUGUCAAGAGGGAAGAAACCCUUGGAUUCGAAUAGGGUCCUUGGCUGACGGUACCUCAAAAGGAAGCACCGGCUAACUCCGUGCCAGCAGCCGCGGUAA